UGACGCAGCCACGCCGCGUGCGGGAAGAAGGCCUUCGGGUCGUAAACCGCUUUCAGGAGGGAAGAAGCGAAAGUGACGGUACCUCCAGAAGAAGGCCCGGCUAACUACGUGCCAGCAGCCGCGGUAUACGUAGGCCGAGCGUUGUCCGGAUAUGGGCGUAGCGCAUGUAGGCGGCCUUGUAAGUCGAUUGUGAUCCCGAGGCUCAACUUCGGAACUGCAGUCGAUACUGCAAGGCUUGAGGAAGGUAGAGGAGAGUGGAAUUCCCGGUGUAGCGGUGGAUGCGCAUAUCGGGAGGAACACCAAUGCGAAGGCGCUCUCUGGGCCUUUCCUGACGCUGAGAUGCGAAAGCGUGGGUAGCGAACAGGAUAGAUACCCUGGUAGUCCACGCCGUAACGAGUGCUAGAUGUGGGGAUCAGUUCACGAUUCCGUGUCGAAGCUAACGCGUUAAGCACCCCGCCUGGGGACUACGGCCGCAAGGCUAAAACUCAAAGGAUUGAC
This 498-nucleotide ribosomal RNA is filed under the name uncultured Actinomycetes bacterium. RNAcentral describes it as "bacterial SSU rRNA". It matches the Rfam family "Bacterial small subunit ribosomal RNA", at positions 384 to 914 of the family's 1533-position model. The record is from RNAcentral. Lineage: Bacteria; Bacillati; Actinomycetota; Actinomycetes.